UACACUCCUGCGGGAGGCAGCAGUAGGGAAUCUUCGGCAAUGGGGGCAACCCUGACCGAGCAACGCCGCGUGAGUGAAGAAGGUUUUCGGAUCGUAAAGCUCUGUUGUAAGUCAAGAACGAGUGUGAGAGUGGAAAGUUCACACUGUGACGGUAGCUUACCAGAAAGGGACGGCUAACUACGUGCCAGCAGCCGCGGUAAUACGUAGGUCCCGAGCGUUGUCCGGAUUUAUUGGGCGUAAAGCGAGCGCAGGCGGUUUGAUAAGUCUGAAGUUAAAGGCUGUGGCUCAACCAUAGUUCGCUUUGGAAACUGUCAAACUUGAGUGCAGAAGGGGAGAGUGGAAUUCCAUGUGUAGCGGUGAAAUGCGUAGAUAUAUGGAGGAACACCGGUGGCGAAAGCGGCUCUCUGGUCUGUAACUGACGCUGAGGCUCGAAAGCGUGGGGAGCGAACAGGAUUAGAAACCCCAGUAGUCCC
This 473-nucleotide ribosomal RNA is filed under the name uncultured organism. Its description in RNAcentral is "partial 16S ribosomal RNA". It matches the Rfam family "Bacterial small subunit ribosomal RNA", at positions 332 to 797 of the family's 1533-position model. The record is from RNAcentral.